Molecule: ribosomal RNA, 351 nt
Filed under: uncultured bacterium
Lineage: Bacteria
Description: bacterial SSU rRNA
Rfam family: Bacterial small subunit ribosomal RNA
Source: RNAcentral
GUAGGUGGCAAGCGUUGUCCGGAUUUACUGGGUGUAAAGGGAGCGUAGGCCGUCUUAUAAGCGUGUUGUGAAAUGUCGGGGCUCAACCUGGGCAUUGCAGCGCGAACUGUGAGACUUGAGUGCGCAGGAAGUAGGCGGAAUUCGUCGUGUAGCGGUGAAAUGCUUAGAUAUGACGAAGAACUCCGAUUGCGAAGGCAGCCUGCUGUAGCGCAACUGACGCUGAAGCUCGAAAGCGUGGGUAUCGAACAGGAUUAGAUACCCUGGUAGUCCACGCGGUAAACGAUGGAUGCUCGCUGUUUGCGUCUGACGUAAGCGGCCAAGCGAAAGCGUUAAGCAUCCCACCUGGGGAGU